RNAcentral lists this non-coding RNA (28 nucleotides) under Mus musculus (house mouse). The record is from RNAcentral. Lineage: Eukaryota; Metazoa; Chordata; Mammalia; Rodentia; Muridae.
UGGAACUUGAAGUUGAAUUCAGAAGCUG